Canis lupus familiaris (dog) is the source of this 3409-nucleotide long non-coding RNA. RefSeq lists it as uncharacterized. The record is from RefSeq and is a predicted model, not a curated record. NCBI's taxonomy places the organism in Eukaryota, Metazoa, Chordata, Mammalia, Carnivora, Canidae. The transcript is spliced from 3 exons.
GAGCCAGGACGGGAGUGAGCACAGCAGGGAUUAGCGGGGAGACUGGGGAAGGUGGAGGAGAGCCUGGGAGGAGAGGAGCUGGGCAUCCCGGAGGGGUGGAGCAGACACACCAAGGGGCCUCUGGGGGCAAGUGGAACUCUGAGGCCACUCAGGUAAACAAAGAAGAGAGUUUCCACUGGGCAAGAACCUUAAGGAGGGAGCCUGGCAAAGGAGCAAACAAAUUGGAUGAGCAGGAGCGAGGAUGACGGAUGGGCCUGAGCUCUGAGAGAGCAGAAGAGCGGCUUUGCAAGGAAGAGGGAGUAGAGGCAAGAAGCUGAGGGGAGGCCUGUGGCCUCGAGCAUGUGACAGGCUUAAGUAAGGAGGCGGUAGAGUUCUCGUCCAGUGCUGGGGGUGCAGGCUGCAACAGCCACCCACGUCAGUGGGGAGAGUCCCUACGGGGCCGCCCCGUGUCCUCUGGAAAUGGCACAUUCUUGGGCAGGGAAGGACCAUGAGAAGGUCAACUGGUGCUGCAAUCCUGUGGUCCGGCAGCUGGGCUGCGGAAGAGAAAGUUUAGACUCCCUUGAAGGUGUGUGGGGUCUUACUGACACGGCCUCUCGCCCCACGGGGGCCCCCAGAGGUGGCCGGGCCCGGUGCUCACCCCUCUUUACCCCCUCCCCAGGGUGCUGGGGGGAGCGGAGCACAUGAUGACCUGAGAUACACAGGAGACGGCUCAGAGCCAAGGUUCUUAGGGAAGCGUCUGAGAGGACAGAAGACGGAAGCCGUGAGGAAAAUCAGUCACACCCCCAGAUGAGCGCAACAUGACAGCCAACUGGGGAGGGAGGCUCAGAAAGCCGAACAGGAAACCUGCUACCUUAUUCAGACCAGCUGGGAGAGCAGAACUAGACAAAGCCAAGGGACAGAAUAAAGAACAACUCAGCCUAGAGAGAAACGCCCUGGAAGAGCAGGGACGCUGCUUGCCCUGCUUGCCCCGCACACGUGCAAUCGCGGCCCCGGAGGCAGGUCUGAGCCUCGCUUCCACGCGACCGCCCGCCACGCAACGGCGGGUCCCCGAAGAGCCAAUUCUUAGGCUCUAAGGUCUUUUUUGCCUCAGGUUAUUUAAAUGGCUUCAGACCAAACAGUCAUUUAAUUCCUAACGGACAGAUGGUAUGAAGAUAAAAUUAUUGAACCCAGAGCAGUCUCAUGGCCAGAUUCUACAUGGAUGGAUGUGGCUGCUGACGACGAAGGGAUUUGUAGGCCGUUUUGAGGACAGAUGAAUAGAUUUAAAUAUUAAGAGAAGCAGGCUAAGUAAGUUCAUCCAUUCAUCUACUCAUUCAACAAAUAUUUAUUUACUAGGUACUCUGAGCAUGGCACCGUGUUAGGUACAUGGCAGUAACCAGGACAGUCCGGUGCUGACCCUUGAGGAACUAAGAGACUCACACAAUAUUGACAAUUCAGUGGAACUUUAAGUAUCUUGACACCAUGGACCAAUAUAUUCAGGAUCCAAGGAUUAAAGGAGGCUCUUAAUUUGGGGCUGAAACAAAACCAAAAUACCCUAGUGUUUCUUUAUAAACACAUGGUGUAUAGUUUUCCUUACAGGAUUUUCUUUUUGCUUAAGUUCAUAAAUCCGUAUAAACUGAUUCAGAAGAUAUGUGAUAAAAUAGGAGAGGAUAAAUUUUAGGGCCUUCCCCAUUCAGCCAUAAGCACAAUUUAGGAAAAGGUCUGCAAAACCCUAGUGCUAGAGUGCAGUCUUGCGGUCAUUUGGUGCUGGGACCCAACUGUUCAGAGAUGAGGAAACCAACAUUUAUAAAAGGCUCAGAAUCUGUUUCUAAUUGUGGAUUGGUAAAAGCUUCUUGGUUUCCCAAGGAACAUAUGGUAGAGAUUGAUAGUUAAAAAUGUAACAGAGGGACUAAAAUAUUAAUGUAGGAGUAUUCACAGACUCCUUCUUUAUAAUCCCCUGCUAAGAAUAAUUCCCGCAAUGCCACCUCGGCAUCUCCUCAUACUGGGUAGCUGAGAUGGAUGGAGGGUGACAUAAUUUCAUGCACCAUGGAGGACUGGGGGAGGGAUUCCAUUGAGGACAAGCACCCCCCUCAUGCAUGUUUGGGGGUGCCCAAACUGCCCGCUUCAUAGUUGAGCACUACUGAGAUGAGGAGAUGAUGACCCUUCAGGGUCCUGAUUUACCUGUAGGUCCACAAGUGGGGGUUAUGGAGAGACACUGCGAUAUUGACAGCUGGGGUCACUCAAAUGUGGAUCCAGGGGGCCACCAGCAGGCCACUGGUGCCUAGGGACAAAUCCCUGUGUGUGGGGACUACUGGAGGCACCAUUCACCCAUCCACCCGGAAGGAAGCUCACAGCACAUAUGAAUGAGGGAGGAGGUGCCUGGUCCCCUGGAUAAUCCCUGAUCAUCUGUGUCACACACUCCUUGCCAGAAAAAGGAGAUAGUUACUCUCAAUGCCACAGAGACUAAGAGUAAGGGCUAUUGUUUGGAAUUGUCUGAAGGCAGAAGUCAGGGGGAGACUAACCUGAGAGCUGGAAAAAUGGUCAGGGGUGCCAAAUGCUUAGAGGAAGAAAUUUCCAAACUGGAUUAUGGAUAUAAAGACAAGAUGCCAACAAGAACUCAGACUCUGAUACCUAGUGGGUAUCAGUAACUAGAAAUUAACCUAAAUCUUGUUAAAUUGUUAAGGAGUUUAUUCACAAUCAACAAUCAUUUACCGAGUCCUGGCACUGUUAGCGAAUUUGGAGAAGAGGCACUGUAUCAGAAAUUUUGCUUUCACAGAGUUGACAUCCUAGCUGCGGGAGAGGCACUUCAUGAAAAUCUCUAAACCUAGCAAACAGCAGAGGCCUGUGAUUGCUCAAUUCUUAAGGCCUCCCACCAACAGGAGUAGAAUAAUAGAGCAAAGCCCAAAAAGGUCAUCCUCCACAAAGCCAAUCUCAGACUUGGCCACAAAGAACAAGAACAAACAAGGAAGAUCUUGGCAGGCACAACAGGUAAGCAGAAGGAUGACCAAGGACCCUAUCCCACUGUGCUGGAGAUAACCUCACACAACCUGAAACCAGGGCAUGCUGAGGCAAGACUGGCAAAGCUGAAGUCAGUUCCCCUGAUCUCAUGCAAACAUGGUGCAGUGUGUGAGAAUUGUUUUAAAGUGGUUAUGCCUCUUGAGCUUGCAGGCAUGUAGUCAGACUAUCCUGAACACUCAGGUAUGUGUUUGGGGAGGAGAUGGAAUAUUAAAACAUAUGAAAUAAAACCCUGAAGAGAACAGUAAGGGGAGCCUCUUUUACUUGGAAAAAGUUCUCAUAAGUAUGCUGUUUCAUUGGGGUCCUCUGGGGACUUGUGAAGCCUUGAUAUAACACUGGCGAGGGAGAUGCUGUUAGUUCCUGCCUUAUGUAACCAUUUCUAUGGUUUUCCAAUGCUCCAAAAUUAAAGAAACUUUAC